CCUACGGGAGGCAGCAGUGAGGAAUAUUGGUCAAUGGACGAGAGUCUGAACCAGCCAAGUAGCGUGAAGGAUGACUGCCCUAUGGGUUGUAAACCUCUUUUAUAUGGGAAGAAUACAUGGUACGCAUAGCCUCAUGUAUGUACCUUAUGAAUAAGCAUCGGCUAACUCCGUGCCAGCAGCCGCGGUAAUACGGAGGAUCCGAGCGUUAUCCGGAUUUAUUGGGUUUAAAGGGGGCGUAGGCGGUUUGUUAAGUCAGUUGGUAAAGUUUGCGGCUUAACCGUAAAAUUGCAAUUGAAACUGUCAGUCUUGAGUGCAGACGAGGUAGGCGGAAUAAGUGAUGUAGCGGUGAAAUGCUUAGAUAUAACGUAGAACUCCGAUAGCGAAGGCAGCUUACUAGACUGCGACUGACACUGAAGCACGAGAGUGUGGGUAUCGAACAGGAUUAGAUACCCCAGUAGUC
This 460-nucleotide ribosomal RNA is filed under the name uncultured bacterium. RNAcentral's name for it is "partial 16S ribosomal RNA". It matches the Rfam family "Bacterial small subunit ribosomal RNA", at positions 338 to 795 of the family's 1533-position model. The record is from RNAcentral.